Otolemur garnettii (small-eared galago) is the source of this 107-nucleotide small nuclear RNA. NCBI's taxonomy places the organism in Eukaryota, Metazoa, Chordata, Mammalia, Primates, Galagidae. The record is from Ensembl.
GUGCUUGUUUCUGUGGCACAUAAACUAAAAUUGAAAUGAUACAGGGACGGUUAACAUGGCCCCUGAGUAAGGAUGACAUGCAAAUAUGUGAAGAGUUCUAUAUUUUU